ACUCUCUGAAAGUGUUUCACAGUGAUGGAGCGGCCUCGCUUGGAUAACUGCGCCCAUUGCCUGAGCUGCCAUGAGGGAGGGAACCUCGGUCGCCCUCUCUCGGGGGGGGGGCCCCGGUAUAAACACGAGCAAGGGAUGAUCAUGACCGGGCGAGAGAUAGCUAGCCAAAGCAUCCUCAACCCGGGGCAUCAUCCCAUAGCCGAAGCCCUUGACCCCCGCUACGUCGCUGUAGACCCGGAGCGGGGGAGUAGUCAGACGUGCUGAGAAGGGUUUGCCCCAGGACUUGCACAACUCGUCAUGCAAGUCCGGAAAAAAACGGCGCUGCAGAAAGCGCUCAUCCAGCUUACUCAUGGCAUGUGUCUCUGGUACAUCCUGCGGCCAAUCGAGCUGGAGCUUGCUCACUGCCCGUGUCACCACCUACAGGAGUUCGUCAUAGCUGGGCGCCGACUGAUGACGUUGCUCCGCUUUUAUCUCCCGGAAGUCUUCCUCCUCCAUGAUGCUAAGCACAUCCAGUCAUCAUGGCUCUGUCCACUAACUAUGUUAGUAGGGAUUUUAUUUAUAAUUUAUAGAGACUUUUCAUUAUUAGGAUUCAAAAAACACCUCAUAAUAACUCACAAAUAGAAGAUGAUUCAAAUAUUCAAAUAUUUCGUACACUUGUGUCAUUUAUUGUUUUUCUCUGUAGCCAACAGCACAAUCUCCCACUAUUUGUUCUGGUUAAUAAAUGCGUUUUGGCAAUGUUUUAAAAUUUAGAUGGCUCGAGUCAAAAUAGCUCCUUUUAUGCCAACUUAAUCCACAACCCCCCACAGACGGGAAACAGUACAGACACAACUCUAGCGAAUGAGGAGCCAUAUUCUUUGAUUUUGGGAAACUAAAGCCUGAUGGAAAUGAAAAAGCUCGACAGACACAGAGGCAACACAGCAGCAACAGAAAAUGAUCCUCCAUCACACAGAAACGAGAGCAGUAACUGAGCCGUGUUCAGCGUUCAUCCUCAGACAGCUUUCAACACUGUGACGACUAGUUUCCCUUUUUCAGAAAAGUUGGGAUACUUUCCAAAAUGCAAUAAAAACAAAGAUCUGGGGUUUGUAAAUUCACAUGAACCUUUAGUUUCAAUAGUUUUACUGACCAGGGUAAUUGUAAUAGUAUUUUGUAAAAAUAAGUUAGUUGGGACAGAGGCAUUGUGUUACAUCACCUUUCCUUUUAAUUCCACCUUUUCAUACCAUCACAGAUACUGCUUUUGCAACUUUUACUGAGAACAAUCUGGAUGGUCACUGUCUUUUGUUCCAUCUGAGAUGAACUCAGGCCCAGAAAAGUCGCCAGCGUCUCUGCCUACCACUGAUGUGUGGAUUCCUCCUUGUAUUAUUCAGGUUGCAUUUCUGGAUGUUCACCAAUAUUGGCACAAAGGAGCGAGCCCCGACCCUGCAGACUACAUGACUUUCAAUGUCGGCAGAUCGCUGGGCUGUUCAGACUACACAACUUGCCAGCUUGUGUCGGGAGUCUCGCCGUCGUUCCCACUCCGUGACUUAUCGGUGACAGGAGGUCACACAGUACGCUAUUAGACAACAACUCUGUCACCCGAGGGCUGGUCUCAUAACCACGUUUGUCAAGAAAACA
Molecule: long non-coding RNA, 1611 nt
Organism: Micropterus salmoides (largemouth bass)
Lineage: Eukaryota; Metazoa; Chordata; Actinopteri; Centrarchiformes; Centrarchidae
Exons: 3
Source: RefSeq, a predicted model, not a curated record